RNAcentral lists this ribosomal RNA (497 nucleotides) under uncultured bacterium. RNAcentral describes it as "partial 16S ribosomal RNA". It matches the Rfam family "Bacterial small subunit ribosomal RNA", at positions 28 to 507 of the family's 1533-position model. The record is from RNAcentral.
GACGAACGCUGGCGGCGUGCCUAAUACAUGCAAGUUGAGCGGUGAAGAUUGGUGCUUGCACCAAUUUUAAGAGCAGCGCACGGGUGAGUAACGCGUGGGGAAUCUGCCUUUGAGCGGGGGACAACAUUUGGAAACGAAUGCUAAUACCGCAUAACAACUUUAAACAUAAGUUUUAAGUUUGAAAGAUGCAAUUGCUUCACUCAAAGAUGAUCCCGCGUUGUAUUAGCUAGUUGGUGAGGUAAAGGCUCACCAAGGCGAUGAUACAUAGCCGACCUGAGAGGGUGAUCGGCCACAUUGGGAAUGAGACAAGGCCCAAACCUCUACGGGAGGCAGCAGUAGGGAAUUUUCGGCAAUGGACGAAAGUCUGAACGAGCAACGCCGGGGGAGUGAAGAAGGGUUUCGGAUCGUAAAACUCUGUUGGUAGAGAAGGACGUUGGUGAGAGUGGAAAGCUCAUAAAGUGACGGUAACUACCCAGAAAGGGACGGCUAACUACGUG